This 660-nucleotide ribosomal RNA is filed under the name uncultured bacterium. Its description in RNAcentral is "bacterial SSU rRNA". It matches the Rfam family "Bacterial small subunit ribosomal RNA", at positions 94 to 788 of the family's 1533-position model. The record is from RNAcentral.
AGUGGCGGACGGGUGAGUAACGCGUGAGAAUCUGCCUUGGGGUCGGGGACAACCACUGGAAACGGUGGCUAAUACCGGAUAAGCCGAUUGGUGAAAGAUUUAUUGCCCGAAGAGGAGCUCGCGUCUGAUUAGCUAGUUGGUGAGGUAAGAGCUCACCAAGGCAGCGAUCAGUAGCUGGUCUGAGAGGACGAUCAGCCACACUGGGACUGAGACACGGCCCAGACUCCUACGGGAGGCAGCAGUGGGGAAUUUUCCGCAAUGGGCGAAAACCUGACGGAGCAAGACCGCGUGAGGGAGGAAGACUCUUGGGUUGUAAACCUCUUUUCUCAGGGAAGAAGCUCUGACGGUACCUGAGGAAUCAGCCUCGGCUAACUCCGUGCCAGCAGCCGCGGUAAUACGGAGGAGGCAAGCGUUAUCCGGAAUUAUUGGGCGUAAAGCGUCCGCAGGUGGCGAUUCAAGUCUGCUGUCAAAGCACGGGGCUUAACUCCGUAAAGGCAGUGGAAACUGAAUAGCUAGAGUGCCGUAGGGGUAGAGGGAAUUCCCGGUGUAGCGGUGAAAUGCGUAGAGAUCGGGAAGAACAUCGGUGGCGAAAGCGCUCUACUGGACGGCAACUGACACUCAGGGACGAAAGCUAGGGGAGCGAAUGGGAUUAGAUACCCC